AGGAUUUGCAGCAAUUUGCAUUGCAACCUUACCGUCAUUAUGUAUCUGAACUGGUAGCUUGAUCUUGACUCCUAUUUCAUUGAAUAGUCCCAGAAUCCAAGUCAAGUAGUUGUAGAUGUCAAACUUCUGUAUUCAGCUUCAACUGAACUCCUAGAGACUGCACUUUGUUUCUUGAAUUUCCAUCAUAUCAAAGAAUCACCCAUUUUAAUCAAGAAGCCUGUUACAGAUUUCCUAGAGUUUGGGCAUGCUGCACAAUCAACAUCACAGUAAGUUGAGAUCUGUUCUUGGCUGCUGCUUGAUAGAAGUACUCCUUGUUUAGGUUGUUUUCUGAUAUAUCUGAUUAUCCUGAUAGCUGUUUCUAGUUGAGACUAGAUCUGGUCUGGUUAUGGCAAGGUAUAGUAGCUUUCCAACAAUCCUUUGAUAUAUAGCUACAUUUUUGUUAGAGGAUCAGUCUGUUCCUUUUUGAAUCCUCCACAUGAUCAUAUACUUCCUUGGUAAUACUAGUCAGCUUUACAUUCUGUUCAAGUGGUGUAGCUAUUGGCUUUGCAACACUCAAUCCUAGUUCAGAAAUCAACUGAUCCUAUGCAUACUUUCUUUGAUGCAUUAUUAUUCCCGAUUUUGAUCUGGCAAAUUCAAUUCCUAGAAAGUAUCUUAGUUCUCCUAGCUAAGUCUUUCAUCUUGAAGGCUUGUUGUAGUGCAGUCUUGGGUUCCUUGAUCAAUUGAAGACUGCUCCUAGUAAUGAGCAUGUCAUCAACAUAAAUUAGAAUGACAAAUAACUCGUUUCCAGUUUUCUUUAAGAGUAGUGAGUGAUCAUACCGACUUUGACUGAAUUCAAGUUGCAGAAUUACUUCUAAUAACUUUGUGUUCCACUGUCUUGGUACCUGCUUCAGUCCAUACAAGGAUUUAAGAUGUGUACAAACUGGUCUAGACUCCCCCUGAUUCUUAAAUCCUUAAGGUAGGUACAUAUAGAUCUCAUCAUUUAAAUCUCCUUGAAGGGAAACAUUGUACACAUCCAUUUGAUAGAUAUGCCAAUGUUUGAUAGAAGAAAUAGCCAAGAUAGACCUCAUUGUAACCAUCUUAACUACCGGUGAAAAUGUCUCAUGAUAAUCAAUUUCUUCCUGCUGGUUAUACCCUUUCGCUAUUAUUCUAGCCUUGAACCAUUCAAUCUCACAUGUAUUCUUGUACGUUAUCUUGAAGACCCAUUUGCAGCCAAUUGGUUUCUCACCAUUGGAUAAAGGAGCCACUGUCCUAGACUCCUAGUCUUAUUACUUUCUAAAGCAGUGAUUUCUGCCUUCAUGGCCUCCACCCACCCAGGGUCUGAAAUAGCCUCAGUUUAUGAAGAAGGUUCUACUUUAGUUGAACUAGCAGCAAUAAAAGGUUGGUAGUUAGAAGGCAGGUGAUUAUAGCUCAUAUAACUUGCUAAACCAUGAGUCACACCAGGCUUUGAUCUCUGAGUUGUGACAAAGUCUUUUAGCCAUAUAGGUGCAACGUUAGUUCUAGGAAGACUAUCUUUGUUGUCCUUCUGAUGUGUUGCUAGAUUUAGGUUGAGACAUUUCUUCUAAAGAAGAUACAAUAGAUUGACUAUCAGGUACUACAAAAUCUUGAACAUCAAGAUUCUGAGGUAGACUUGCCUUUCUAAUAACAUCAGUAUGUAAGAGCAACUAGUCAGUAAAAACAUCAAGAAAUGGAGCUUGAUGACCUUUCUGGAGUGUUUUGAAAGGAAAUAUGGACUUCCUGAAUUCAACAUCUUUGUUUACAAAAAACAUACAAUUAGUAAACUCAUACAAGAGAGCCCGACACCAAAACGGACUAUUUUUGAACCUUAAAAAUCAAAAGGGAUAUUCUCUAAAAAUACACAUCAAAACGGACAGUUCACCCAUUUAUGAGCGAAGUAUAACUAUCAUCCCUGUCAACUCUAAAUCCAUCUAUAGUAAUAUUACACAAACUUUAAAGGUAGUUUGUCCAUACAUGGGUGAACUACGAUUCUUUUUAUUAACUCCCCACGUGAAUCUAUAUCUCUUUCUUUCUCACAUGAAGCUAUAUCUCUUUCUUCAUCAAUAAAUAUGCGUUAUAUACUCCAUAUUUUCUCAUUCAUCUUCUACUUUUUUUUAUACUUUAUAUUUUGAAAUUUGAUAGUCAUGUCUCAACAAUUUGAAAAGUUUGUAUAUUCAAUUGAACCAGAUGUUUGUAAAUGCAAAGAGUAUUAUAAAAUGAAAACGUCGAGGACUCCAAGAAAUCCUAGUUGUAAGUUUUGGAAUUGUGCGCAUUCAAAGAUGAAAAAGUUAAGUUGUUGUUCACUUCAAAAUAUUUGGAUAUUCACUUGUUUUCUUGUUUUGUUAUUUCAGGAAAAUGAUGGAUGCAAUUAUUUUCAGUGGGCAGAAAACAUGCUCAUAGAAGAAGAAAUGUAGAUGUUCUACCUUAUCUUAGUUGAUUCAAUUUGUUUUUAAACUAUUAGAGUACGCCUGCAAUUGAACGAACCAUAAUAUUUUU
RNAcentral lists this long non-coding RNA (2490 nucleotides) under Solanum tuberosum (potato). RNAcentral describes it as "long non-coding RNA (STUB_LNC011404)". The record is from RNAcentral. Lineage: Eukaryota; Viridiplantae; Streptophyta; Magnoliopsida; Solanales; Solanaceae.